UUUAAGCUAGGAUGACCAGACCUCCCCGUUUUUCGGAGACAGCCCCCCACCCCACAACAUCUACCAGAUUUCAGCAGACGCCUCGCGUAUUGUUCUGUGGAUCACUUUAAGACGGGCUCAGGCCGAUAGCAGAGAAGUUGUAGAACACCUCUGGCGAUAGCUUUUCCAGUAUUUUGAUUAGUGGAGCAGGGGAACAACUUUUUAGUGGAGUGCUAGAAUCUUUGCCGAAAGUCAUCUAUUGAUCUUUGACAGAUCGCUUCAUCCGCUCUUGUACAGCAAUGUCCUCUCUGCAAUCGACGAGAUGACUAAAGCCAACACUGAAAUGAAUGCCGUGGCUGUUCAACAAAGAAUCAAGGCCGAUUUUGGUAUUGAACUGAGCUUAACAAGCAUACGCCGCGCUCGCAGACGAAUGGGUUGGAAAUUUUCCUCGACCCGUUUCUGUCCAAUGCUGAAAGAACGCAACAAAGAACGCAUGGGGAAUGAUUUCCCGAUAUGGAGCAGGUCCCCUUGUCAUUUUUGAGGGAAUAAUGGACAGAGAAUAUUUUGAGGAGACCAUCAUAAAAGAAUUUGCAGCACCAUACAUCAGGGAAUAUUUUGGGACUGAUCACCGCUUUUUCCAGGACAAUGACCCAAAGCACACCGCAGCUGCGGCUUACUUAGCAUCAGAGGGCAUCAACUGGGUUAAAAUUCCAGCAGAAUCACUGGACUUGAAUCCAAUCGAACUGGUUUGGCACGCCAUGAAGGACUAUAUCCGCAAAGACGCAAAGCCAGGUACAAAGCAGGAGCUUAUCAAAGCCAUGCAAGUGUUCUGGAACACAAAAGUGACUGUGGAUUUCUGCAACAGACUUAUAUCAGGUUUAUCAAAUGUAAUCAAUCUGGUUAUUAGCAACAAAGGAGGGCAUAGCGGGAAAUGAUACCCUGUCUUCAAAUAGCAUACUCAGUUGAAAUUUGUGAUUUGUGAUUACAUGUGCACCUUUUUAAUAAAAAAAAAAGGCACGAA
Molecule: long non-coding RNA, 1000 nt
Organism: Neoarius graeffei (lesser salmon catfish)
Lineage: Eukaryota; Metazoa; Chordata; Actinopteri; Siluriformes; Ariidae
Exons: 2
Source: RefSeq, a predicted model, not a curated record